GAAAUACUCCCUCCGUUUGGAAAUACUUGUCUUAGAAAUGGAUAAAAUGGAUGUAUCUAUAACUAAAAUAAUUCUAGAUACAACCAUUUCUAGGACAAGUAUUUGUGAACGGAUGGAGUAGUUU
Non-coding RNA from Triticum urartu, 124 nucleotides. NCBI's taxonomy places the organism in Eukaryota, Viridiplantae, Streptophyta, Magnoliopsida, Poales, Poaceae. The record is from Rfam.